GAAAUACAUGCCCUAAAGAAAAAAUUCCAAAGUGCCCCAAAGACCAGCGACCAAAGUGCUAUGUACCGAAUGGUAGAUGCAACUGCACUUGUACUACCUCCAUGAAGCGUCCACCUGGCUUGUCAAAUCCAUUCGUGUAAGACCUUCAAAGCCAAAUCCAUAAAGCUGUCGCACCACGAAGAAGGCAGACACUACAAUAAAAUGCCGUUGCUUGUUCAGUGAA
Rhipicephalus microplus (southern cattle tick) is the source of this 223-nucleotide long non-coding RNA. RefSeq lists it as uncharacterized. The record is from RefSeq and is a predicted model, not a curated record. Lineage: Eukaryota; Metazoa; Arthropoda; Arachnida; Ixodida; Ixodidae.